CAGGGAUUGCCCUAGUAACGGCGAGUGAAGCGGCAACAGCUCAAAUUUGAAAUCUGGCUCUUUCAGAGUCCGAGUUGUAAUUUGCAGAGGGCGCUUUGGCUUUGGCAGCGGUCCAAGUUCCUUGGAACAGGACGUCACAGAGGGUGAGAAUCCCGUACGUGGUCGCUAGCUAUUGCCGUGUAAAGCCCCUUCGACGAGUCGAGUUGUUUGGGAAUGCAGCUCUAAAUGGGAGGUAAAUUUCUUCUAAAGCUAAAUAUUGGCCAGAGACCGAUAGCGCACAAGUAGAGUGAUCGAAAGAUGAAAAGCACUUUGGAAAGAGAGUCAAACAGCACGUGAAAUUGUUGAAAGGGAAGCGCUUGCAGCCAGACUUGCUUGCAGUUGCUCAUCCGGGCUUUUGCCCGGUGCACUCUUCUGUAGGCAGGCCAGCAUCAGUUUGGGCGGUGGGAUAAAGGUCUCUGUCACGUACCUCUCUUCGGGGAGGCCUUAUAGGGGAGACGACAUACCACCAGCCUAGACUGAGGUCCGCGCAUCUGCUAGGAUGCUGGCGUAAUGGCUGUAAGCGGCCCGUCUUGAAACACGGACCAAGGAGUCUAACAUCUAUGCGAGUGUUUGGGUGUCAAGCCCGAGCGCGUAAUGAAAGUGAACGGAGGUGGGAACCCGCAAGGGUGCACCAUCGACCGAUCCUGAAGUUUACGGAAGGAUUUGAGUAAGAGCAUGGCUGUUGGGACCCGAAAGAUGGUGAACUAUGCUUGAAUAGGGUGAAGCCAGAGGAAACUCUGGUGGAGGCUCGCAGCGGUUCUGACGUGCAAAUCGAUCGUCAAAUUUGGGCAUAGGGGCGAAAGACUAAU
RNAcentral lists this ribosomal RNA (848 nucleotides) under Bipolaris sp. Its description in RNAcentral is "partial large subunit ribosomal RNA". It matches the Rfam family "Eukaryotic large subunit ribosomal RNA", at positions 69 to 935 of the family's 3401-position model. Lineage: Eukaryota; Fungi; Ascomycota; Dothideomycetes; Pleosporales; Pleosporaceae. The record is from RNAcentral.